This 468-nucleotide ribosomal RNA is filed under the name uncultured bacterium. RNAcentral's name for it is "partial 16S ribosomal RNA". It matches the Rfam family "Bacterial small subunit ribosomal RNA", at positions 28 to 507 of the family's 1533-position model. The record is from RNAcentral.
GACGAACGCUGGCGGCGUGCUUAACACAUGCAAGUCGAACGGAAAGGCCCUGCUUUUGUGGGGUGCUCGAGUGGCGAACGGGUGAGUAGCACGUGAGUAACCUGCCCUUGACUUUGGGAAAACUUCAGGAAACUGGGGCUAAUACCGGAUAGGAGCUCCUGCUGCAUGGUGGGGGUUGGAAAGUUUCGGCGGUUGGGGAUGGACUCGCGGCUUAUCAGCUUGUUGGUGGGGUAGUGGCUUACCAAGGCUUUGACGGGUAGCCGGCCUGAGAGGGUGACCGGCCACAUUGGGACUGAGAUACGGCCCAGACUCCUACGGGAGGCAGCAGUGGGGAAUAUUGCACAAUGGGCGGAAGCCUGAUGCAGCAACGCCGCGUGCGGGAUGACGGCCUUCGGGUUGUAAACCGCUUUCGCCUGUGACGAAGCGUGAGUGACGGUAAUGGGUAAAGAAGCACCGGCUAACUACGUG